Molecule: ribosomal RNA, 253 nt
Filed under: uncultured bacterium
Lineage: Bacteria
Description: partial 16S ribosomal RNA
Rfam family: Bacterial small subunit ribosomal RNA
Source: RNAcentral
UACGGGGGGUGCAAGCGUUAAUCGGAAUUACUGGGCGUAAAGGGUGCGUAGGUGGUUAAUUAAGUUAUCUGUGAAAUACCUGGGCUUAACCUGGGCAGGUCAGAUAAUACUGAAUGACUCGAGUAUAGGAGAGGGUAGUGGAAUUUCCGGUGUAGCGGUGAAAUGCGUAGAGAUCGGAAGGAACACCGGUGGCGAAGGCGGCUACCUGGCCUAAUACUGACACUGAGGCACGAAAGCGUGGGGAGCAAACAGG